RNAcentral lists this ribosomal RNA (274 nucleotides) under uncultured bacterium. RNAcentral describes it as "partial 16S ribosomal RNA". It matches the Rfam family "Bacterial small subunit ribosomal RNA", at positions 523 to 796 of the family's 1533-position model. The record is from RNAcentral.
AGACGUAGGGUGCAAGCGUUGUCCGGAGUUACUGGGCUUAAAGGGUGCGUAGGCGGCGAGUUAGGUUCAUGAUGAAAGUCUACGGCUCAACCGUAGGUAUGUUGUGAAAACUGGCUUGCUGGAGUAUGUUGUAAGCAGUUGGAAUAUGCGGUGUAGCGGUGAAAUGCGUAGAUAUCGUAUGGAAGGUCGAUAGCGAAGGCAGGCUGCUAUGACAUAACUGACGCUGAUGCACGAAAGCGUGGGGAGCGAACAGGAUUAGAAACCCUAGUAGUCC